CGUUGAAACACUAGUUCUUGUACGAUCACUAAAGUUAAGCAACGUUAAGCCUGGUGAGUAGCUAGAUGGGUGGCCUCUUGCGAAUUCCAGGCGCUGUAA
Acanthosepion pharaonis is the source of this 99-nucleotide non-coding RNA. The record is from the annotation of a GenBank genome assembly. Lineage: Eukaryota; Metazoa; Mollusca; Cephalopoda; Sepiida; Sepiidae.